ACGAACGCUGGCGGCGUGCUUCACACAUGCAAGUCGAACGGAGAGGCCUGCUUUCCCUUGUGGAUUGCGGGUACUCGAGUGGCGAACGGGUGAGUAACACGUGAGUGAUCUGCCCCCAACUUGGGUAUAAGCCUGGGAAACUGGGUCUAAUUCCCGAUAGGACUGCAGGGUGGCGCCUGUGUUGGAAAACGAUUUUCUAGUGGUUGGGGAUGAGCUCGCGGCCUAUCAGCUUGUUGGUGGGGUAAUGGCCUACCAAGGCGGCGACGGGUAGCCGGCCUGAGAGGGUGGACGGCCACAUUGGGACUGAGAUACGGCCCAGACUCCUACGGGAGGCAGCAGUGGGGAAUAUGGCACAAUGGGCGGAAGCCUGAUGCAGCGACGCCGCGUGGGGGAUGACGGCCUUCGGGUUGUAAACUCCUUUCGACCGCGAGGAAGCCACCUGGUUGGAAGGGUGGUGACGGUAGUGGUAGAAGAAGCACCGGCUAACUACGUG
RNAcentral lists this ribosomal RNA (493 nucleotides) under uncultured bacterium. RNAcentral describes it as "partial 16S ribosomal RNA". It matches the Rfam family "Bacterial small subunit ribosomal RNA", at positions 29 to 507 of the family's 1533-position model. The record is from RNAcentral.